Molecule: ribosomal RNA, 422 nt
Filed under: uncultured bacterium
Lineage: Bacteria
Description: bacterial SSU rRNA
Rfam family: Bacterial small subunit ribosomal RNA
Source: RNAcentral
UAAGGAAUAUUGGACAAUGGAGGCAACUCUGAUCCAGCCAUGCCGCGUGAAGGAAUAAGGCCCUAUGGGUUGUAAACUUCUUUUAGACGGGACAAAACCCCUUUACGUGUAAAGGGUUGAUGGUACUGUCAGAAUAAGCAUCGGCUAACUUCGUGCCAGCAGCCGCGGUAAUACGAAGGAUGCAAGCGUUAUCCGGAAUUAUUGGGUUUAAAGGGUGCGUAGGCGGACUGAUAAGUCAGUGGUGAAAGCCUGCAGCUUAACUGCAGAAUUGCCAUUGAUACUGUUAGUCUUGAGUACAGUUGAGGUAGGCGGAAUGUGUCAUGUAGCGGUGAAAUGCUUAGAUAUGACACAGAACACCGAUUGCGAAGGCAGCUUGCUAAGCUGUAACUGACGCUGAGGCACGAAAGCGUGGGGAGCAAACA